UACAACGUUUAAAAAACAUUUGAAGAGAUACUUGAACAGAGGGAUAUGGGCCAAACGCAAGCAAAUGGGACUACUUUAGCUUGGAGAACCUGGUAGAUAUGAUGAGUUGGACCAAAGGGUCUGUUUCUGUACUAUAUGACUAUAACUCCAUGAAAAAUUAGAGAGGUGAGCCCAUGGUAAGUAAUUUACUAAUUUUCAUAAUGGAGGAACAUAGGGGAAUACUUUGUACUGCUUUUCAGUCUGCAUUACAUUGAGAAGGGUGAUGUUUUACUAAUUUAUAUAUGAAGCAAUUUUUUUUAUGAUCCCUAGAUCAUGCUAUUGUUCAAUUGUAAAUUGGAAAGUAAAGGAUGCAUUAUAGUUUGUAGGGGAGGUUGACUUAUGGAAGUAAUUAAUGAUGUUGAACAUCGGAGAAUAUUAACUAGAAAAAUCUUUAAAUGGUGAUGGUAUUUUUGAAGCCAUGAGGACAGACACAUCACAUAUUGAAUUUUAUCAAUUGCAAUGAAAGAAAGACCAGAGUGAAAUUCAACUAUGUAAUUGUUGGGAACUUUUUAUUGGGAAAAAAAAAUCACAUUUACCAUAUAUUAAAAUUUAGUAAAGUCAUUCUUAAAUCUAUUUUGAGUAUUGCUGGAAAGAGUUUUCAUCUUACACCCCUCAAGUUUUCAACCAAUUUAAGGGGAAAACAAUAUUUACAUUGGAUGAGAGGGGAGUUCUUAUAGAUAGGUAUGGUGUCGCUAUGAAGAAUGUACCAGUUAAUGUUGAUUGACAGUUUGUUAUUAGGCUUUGAUUGGUCAAGGUAUUAUCCUGAGAAAUGAACUAGCAAAUAAUUGCAAUUUAUUCUGUGAGGUUGAAACAGGUGCAGUGUGUGUACAUGUUAUUUCUGUUUGCAAAGAACUUGGUCCCGUCUAUUAAUUUGCAUAGUAUUUUAUAUAUGCAAUUGCGCCACACUGUGAACCCAACUUGUCAAUACUAAUAGAUUGAUUGUCAGCAUAAUUCUUCACACCCUCAGGAGUAUUCAACAAAUAUUGUCCAGUUGUGGAAUCACAUCUAAUGUUGGUAUUUUGAAACACAAUUCUGGUACAUUCAUAUAUGAGAUCAUACAAUGCCAUGACUUACUUGUGAUUACUUUUUUAUGAAGGUUGAGGCACCUACUUUAGUCAAAACUUUGUAACUGCUAUUUAACAUUGCAGAAGAUCCCAAGAAACUUCACAUACUAAGCCAAAGAAGAAGAUUUUGGAUCAAUUUGUGAUGAAAUAUUUGGUCAAAGAGAUGGGUUUUAAAAACAUCUUAAAGGAAAAGAGGAGGAAGAGCAGUUUAGGGAGGCAGUUCCAGAGCUUAGUGUCGAGGGCAUUAAGGGUUGAAGGAACUGAUUGAUGCAAAAGGCCACCGUUUAGACUUUUUUUAGAUUAGAUUGCUUACAGUGUGGAAACAGGCCCUUCGGCCCAACAAGUCCACACUAACCCGCCGAAGCGCAACCCACCCAGACCCAUUCCCCUACAUUUAUCCCUUCAUCUAACACUACGGGCAAUUCAUAGAGUUGUAGAACUGGUAAAGAUUAUAGAAAAAGAGAGGGGAUGAGCACUUAAACACUUGAAAUUUAAAGAUUUGAAGCCCACAGAUCAAAGCUGAAUAGACUUGGUUUAUAACAGGUUUUGGGUGUUAACUGAUAUUUAACUAGUGUGAAGGACAUCUGCUAAAAAUACAUUGAAUGUGGCAAAAUCUGGAGUUGAGAAAGAAACAGGAUUUGGCAGCAGACAAAGAAAAUGAAAUUCUGAUUCAGGUGAUUUUAUGGAGAUGGAAAUAGGGGGUCUUUGGGAAGGGAUAUAGGGUCAAAAGAUUAAGUUAGGGUCUAAUAAUUGUAGUGUGGCAGAGGUUCUGAGUCUGGACCACAUCACAGCUAAUGUACUCAGAAUUGAACCUUCUACAAAGUUUCCUAAAACAAUGAAUACACUUCAAAAGGGCUUCAAUUUCUGUAAAGCAAUUUGCGAUGCCCUUUGGAAAUAAUAACUUGCAUGUCUUUCUUUCUGCAAUUGCUUCAGUUAUUGUAUACAGUGAAACUGCAAUGAGUUAAAUGCAGAUAACCAAAACCAAAAGUCAUGUUGAAGUUCUCAACUAUUACUGCUGGAAUUCAAUAGUAAAUCCAAUAAAACAAUUCCUGUGGUAAGUCAAAACACCAGACGGGCAAUUUGGAUUAGUUGAGCUUGUGAAGCUGAUCAUAUGACUAUAUCAACCAAAUGGUACGAUGGUAGAUCACAUUGGAAUGCAAAAUCACAAAGCUCUGGGCAAGCUGUCACUCGACAGGAAGUUUAAUCAAAUCCUGCUAGUUUGAUCAAAUGUGUGAGAAAAUUAAAGUUGAUGCUUUAAACAAGUAGAAAACCAUGGUGCAAAAUAGAAAGCGGACAUUGCUAAAAAAUGCCAAUCUUAAAUUUGUCAACUAUUCUGAAGCAUAAACUGAACAUUCUUGGAAUAUUUUGACAAGCAGGCAUUUUCUCCAGUAAGGAAGAGAUGAGAAUGAUCACCUAUCCUGAUGUUAAAUAAAACUCUGUCAAUGUGGUUCAAGGCAGCCAAACAGACAGUUUCCACCUCCAGUCCAAUCCUACAGGAAAGGAAAGUCACCCUGGCAAAAAGACUGGGCCACAAGUAACUCACCUGCAGUGAGAGACAGCUGGACUAAUUCAGCUGGCAUCGUCUUCCACAUGGUAGAUGGGAGAGGUGCAACACUUAUGGCAGCAAUAGCAGAUGAUUCACUACAAAAUGGUUUUGCCAGGUCCCACAUAAUAUACACCAUUUUAAUUCAGGUGAAACCAUACUGCUGUUUCAUGUUUAAAGGUAAAAAUGUAUUGAUAGUAAAUGGAGAAAGGAACGUGUCACUGCGGCAACACGGAUAGCACUGAAAAGUUGAUGCUUCUGGUGGUGGGAAAGGCCAAGAAGCCAUGUUACUUUGCAAAUGUCAAGAUGCUAUCCAAACUGUGUGAGGCUAAUAGAACCAUCCCGAUGGCCUGAGCUGUGGAUCAGAAAAGUGGACAAAAUAUAUCAAUGGAAUUAAAGAAGAUUAGUAUCAUCACAGUCAACUACCUGUGCAUCUAACAUCAGUGACCAAAGAUAAUACACUUUUAGAGAAAAAGUUUAGAGGUUUUUUAGAGCUAACUCCUAAUAUUUCUAAUAUGAUUUUUACUGUACAAGAUCAGGCCAUUCUAAUGUGUGCAAGAAAUAAAGACAUAUUUACUAUUUA
Molecule: non-coding RNA, 3229 nt
Organism: Chiloscyllium plagiosum (whitespotted bambooshark)
Lineage: Eukaryota; Metazoa; Chordata; Chondrichthyes; Orectolobiformes; Hemiscylliidae
Source: RefSeq, a predicted model, not a curated record